AAAGGUGCUCAAUUUGAGCUUAAAAGGGAAUUCGGUGAAAAACCGAAGCUGUUUCCGCAACUGUAAAUGUAGACGACCACAGAGUAUACCACUGUCGAAUGAAGAAAAAUGCUUCUAGUAGAUGGGAAGGUUCUGAAUGGGAUACAUGAGCCAGGAGACCUACCUUUAUUUU
RNAcentral lists this non-coding RNA (172 nucleotides) under uncultured Solibacillus sp. Lineage: Bacteria; Bacillati; Bacillota; Bacilli; Caryophanales; Caryophanaceae. The record is from RNAcentral.